GUGGGGAAUCUUAGACAAUGGGGGAAACCCUGAUCUAGCCAUGCCGCGUGAGCGAUGAAGGCCUUAGGGUUGUAAAGCUCUUUCAGCUGGGAAGAUAAUGACGGUACCAGCAGAAGAAGCCCCGGCUAACUCCGUGCCAGCAGCCGCGGUAAUACGGAGGGGGCUAGCGUUGUUCGGUAUUACUGGGCGUAAAGCGCGCGUAGGCGGACCAGAAAGUUGGAGGUGAAAUCCCAGGGCUCAACCUUGGAACUGCCUUCAAAACUCCUGGUCUGGAGUUCGAGAGAGGUGGGUGGAAUUCCGAGUGUAGAGGUGAAAUUCGUAGAUAUUCGGAGGAACACCAGUGGCGAAGGCGGCUCACUGGCUCGAUACUGACGCUGAGGUGCGAAAGCGUGGGGAGCAAACAGGAUUAGAAACCCUAGUAGUCC
This 425-nucleotide ribosomal RNA is filed under the name uncultured bacterium. RNAcentral's name for it is "partial 16S ribosomal RNA". It matches the Rfam family "Bacterial small subunit ribosomal RNA", at positions 354 to 796 of the family's 1533-position model. The record is from RNAcentral.